This 424-nucleotide ribosomal RNA is filed under the name uncultured bacterium. Its description in RNAcentral is "bacterial SSU rRNA". It matches the Rfam family "Bacterial small subunit ribosomal RNA", at positions 355 to 796 of the family's 1533-position model. The record is from RNAcentral.
UGGGGAAUAUUGGACAAUGGGCGCAAGCCUGAUCCAGCCAUGCCGCGUGAGUGAUGAAGGCCUUAGGGUUGUAAAGCUCUUUUGUCAGGGAAGAUAAUGACGGUACCUCAAGAAUAAGCACCGGCUAACUUCGUGCCAGCAGCCGCGGUAAUACGAAGGGUGCUAGCGUUGUUCGGAAUCACUGGGCGUAAAGCGCGCGUAGGCGGCGUAGCAAGUCAGAGGUGAAAGCCUGGAGCUCAACUCCAGAAUUGCCUUUGAAACUGCGAAGCUAGAGUGUCGGAGGGGAUAGCGGAAUUCCUAAUGUAGAGGUGAAAUUCGUAGAUAUUAGCAGGAACACCGGUGGCGAAGGCGGCUAUCUGGACGACAACUGACGCUGAGGCGCGAAAGCACGGGGAUCAAACAGGAUUAGAUACCCCCGUAGUCC